Molecule: transfer RNA, 83 nt
Filed under: Candidatus Glassbacteria bacterium RBG_16_58_8
Lineage: Bacteria; Candidatus Glassiibacteriota
Description: tRNA-Leu
Rfam family: tRNA
About the family: Transfer RNA (tRNA) molecules are approximately 80 nucleotides in length. Their secondary structure includes four short double-helical elements and three loops (D, anti-codon, and T loops).
Source: RNAcentral
GCGAGAGUGGCGGAAUCGGCAGACGCGCAGGACUUAGGAUCCUGUGAGGAAAACUCGUGGGGGUUCAAAUCCCCCCUCUCGCA